GUAUGAGGUGCGGUGGCGAAGUGUUAGCCUCUAUUCUUACUACCAGUUGUUGAGCUGUGUUUCUGUUAAGAUUUAGACUUGUUGGUUCAACUUUUUAUUGUAUAUUUUUCUUCCACGAUAUGAAGCCAAAUGACACUCAACGAUUCUGAAAUAGCUAGGAUAUUUUUGAAUUUUAGCUUGACACUAUUUGUGGAUAAAUUUGAUGGUUUUUCGAUUUAUGGAACAAGUGCAAGCGAAAGUAACGUUACUGGUGGGACUUGGACUUGCACGACGUUUCGUCAACGGAGUGUGACACAGUGAUUAAGACUGGGGAGAGGUCGAGAGGCAGAGUCACAUUGUUGGUGUUACACCAAUCAGAGGCAAGGCAGAGGUCAAGGGCUUGUCUGGAGGCGGGACACGCCAUAAGUGGCAGAGAUGAUGGUCUCUACCUGCUGCACCACCUGGGCCAAACUCUCUCUCUGGUCAGAUUACCAACUCACAUCUUAUGACUCGGGAGAGGCGAAGGUCAAGAGCCAUGUGUCUUCCGAAACACAACCCAACCAAGCCGCAGUGCUUCUUGACACAAUGCCCAGAAGCCAGCCACACCAAUGUGUCGGAGGAAACACUGUACACCUGGCAACUGUAUCAGCGUGUAUGUGCCCAGCCCGCCACAGGAGUUUCUAGAGAGCAAUGGGACAAAGACAUCCCUGCCGGACAAACCCUACACGUAUGUUGGGAACAUAUAUGUAAUACAUGUAUUAUAUUUUGUAUUAGCACUAUGGUGACACCACCAAUAUAAUUUAAAACGAGCAUAAAUAAGUCAGAAGUGGGUGUGGACAAGCCAGAUGCGAGACAGGAAGAUAAUAGUGGCGAAAAGCCAAGGGGUGUUAAUCAUUUACAAAAAGAGGAGUGACCAUGUAUGUUAUGUAAGGGUAAAACUGUAUAAAAGCAGAGUGCUGAGACUGGAGAGGUCAGUUGUUCCAUGGAAUUGCUCGGCUUCUGUUACUUUUGUAAUAAAGUGUAUUUGAAUUCACGA
Salmo salar (Atlantic salmon) is the source of this 1015-nucleotide long non-coding RNA. RefSeq lists it as uncharacterized. NCBI's taxonomy places the organism in Eukaryota, Metazoa, Chordata, Actinopteri, Salmoniformes, Salmonidae. The record is from RefSeq and is a predicted model, not a curated record.